UUGUCUCAAAGAUUAAGCCAUGCAUGUCUCAGUACAAGCCAAAUUAAGGUGAAACCGCGAAAGGCUCAUUAAAUCAGUUAUGGUUCCUUAGAUCGUACCCACAUUUACUUGGAUAACUGUGGUAAUUCUAGAGCUAAUACAUGCUAACAGAGCUCCGACCGGAAACGGAAGGAGCGCUUUUAUUAGAUCAAAACCAAUCGGUGGCGGUCCUCCGUCAUCGUACAACUUGGUGAAUCUGAAUAACUUUAUGCUGAUCGCACGGUCUCGCACCGGCGACGCAUCUUUCAAAUGUCUGCCUUAUCAACUGUCGAUGGUAGGUUCUGCGCCUACCAUGGUUGUAACGGGUAACGGGGAAUCAGGGUUCGAUUCCGGAGAGGGAGCCUGAGAAACGGCUACCACAUCCAAGGAAGGCAGCAGGCGCGCAAAUUACCCACUCCCGGCACGGGGAGGUAGUGACGAAAAAUAACGAUACGGGACUCAUCCGAGGCCCCGUAAUCGGAAUGAGUACACUCUAAACCCUUUAACGAGGAUCAAUUGGAGGG
Molecule: ribosomal RNA, 542 nt
Filed under: Halammobia pellucida
Lineage: Eukaryota; Metazoa; Arthropoda; Insecta; Coleoptera; Tenebrionidae
Description: SSU rRNA
Rfam family: Eukaryotic small subunit ribosomal RNA
Source: RNAcentral